UGCCGCGUGUGUGAAGAAGGCCUAUCGGGUUGUAAAGCACUUUUGUUCGGAAAGAAAAGGUUUGGGCUAAUAUCCUGAAGUGAUGACGGUACCGGAAGAAUAAGCACCGGCUAACUACGUGCCAGCAGCCGCGGUAAUACGAAGGGUGCAAGCGUUAAUCGGAAUUACUGGGCGUAAAGCGUGCGCAGGCGGUUUGUUAAGACAGAUGUGAAAUCCCCGGGCUCAACCUGGGAACUGCAUUUGAGACUGGCAAGCUAGAGUCUGGCAGAGGGGGGUGGAAUUCCGCGUGUAGCAGUGAAAUGCGUAGAUAUGCGGAGGAACACCGAUGGCGAAGGCAGCCCCCUGGGCCAACACUGACGCUCAUGCACGAAAGCGUGGGGAGCAAACAGGAUUAGAUACCCUGGUAGUCCACGCCCUAAACGAUGUCAACUAGUUGUUGGGGAUUCAUUUCCUUAGUAACGUAGCUAACGCGUGAAGUUGACCGCCUGGGGAGUACGGUCGCAAGAUUAAAACUCAAAGGAAUUGACGGGGACCCGCACAAGCGGUGGAUGAUGUGGAUUAAUUCGAUGCAACGCGAAAAACCUUACCUACCCUUGACAUGGUCGGAACCCUUGAGAGAUC
This 621-nucleotide ribosomal RNA is filed under the name Burkholderiaceae bacterium Ri3Ps_5205. Its description in RNAcentral is "bacterial SSU rRNA". It matches the Rfam family "Bacterial small subunit ribosomal RNA", at positions 395 to 1008 of the family's 1533-position model. The record is from RNAcentral. Lineage: Bacteria; Pseudomonadati; Pseudomonadota; Betaproteobacteria; Burkholderiales; Burkholderiaceae.